RNAcentral lists this long non-coding RNA (953 nucleotides) under Heterocephalus glaber (naked mole-rat). Its description in RNAcentral is "lncRNA (ENSHGLG00100039974.1)". Lineage: Eukaryota; Metazoa; Chordata; Mammalia; Rodentia; Bathyergidae. The record is from RNAcentral.
GAACAGGUUGCCUCGGGUUCAUCAGUGCAAUGACACAGGUACUCUCUACACGACCAUCCCGACUUGGCCCGAAUUGUCCCUUCUGUCACUUGCAGGUGUUAUGACAAGUAACAAACCACAGUGGAAAUGUUUGAAUUUUCCUGUCUCUGUCCCUAAAAUACCUCUCUGGGACGCCGUAGUGGUGACAGGAGAUAAAACUCUGUGUAGCUGUCCUAUAGCUUCUGCCUUUUCUGUGGGCUGGGCUGCAGACCUCCUUCAUAGUAAUGUUUGUAAUUGUAAAGUUUAUUCUUCGGUGUAGGACAUGAAUGAUAAUAGGUUUAAACAGCUUCACAACUAAAGCAUAAAGGAUGAGGGACACGGAUUUCUUGGAUCUUCAAUUUUUAAAAAGCUGAAGAACAUUGUUCUGGCUUUGUUUUCAGUGCUGGGGAUUGAAUCCAGGGCCUCACACAUGUUAAGCAUGGCUGUACCACUGGGCACACCCCAGCCCUGUCCUGGCUUCCCCACUACAGAGGCAGUGAUGAGGGGGAAGAGCCUGGAUGCUGUGUCACCCAGACAGACUCUCUCCUGCAACUUCUGCUGUCCUCCACUACACACAACUAGAGGCCAGGUGAGCCACCCUUCAUUCAUUCAGGAGGCAGCUGUGACUUGGGGCAUCUCUCACCCUCCCUCACCCUCGAUUUCUUCCUGCAGUAACAGCCUCUCAGGGCCAAUGGGAAAGUUAAAGAACCAGAACUGCAUAGCUGGUGCUCACGUGAAAACAAAGGGCCUGUCUGGCCUGGUUACUGUUCUCCGUCUCUGAAGGGCUCCAGGCAGUGCAGGCACAGCCUCCCACCUUGCUAAUGCUCUGCCAUUACUCCUUCCUGUGCUGUCCUCCCUCCGAGGGUUGGAGGCCCACACCAGCGGAGAAGGUGCUGUUGACUCACUCUCACAACUACCAGUCUUUGUGUUAUCAG